This 808-nucleotide ribosomal RNA is filed under the name uncultured archaeon. Its description in RNAcentral is "bacterial SSU rRNA". It matches the Rfam family "Archaeal small subunit ribosomal RNA", at positions 17 to 833 of the family's 1478-position model. The record is from RNAcentral.
CCGGACCUGACUGCUAUCGGAUUGGUACUAAGCCAUGCGAGUCAUUGUAGCAAUACAAGGCGGACGGCUCAGUAACACGUAGUCAACCUAACCUAUGGACGUGGAUAACCUCGGGAAACUGAGAAUAAACCGCGAUAGAUCAUUAUGCCUGGAAUGGCUUAUGGUUCAAACAAUUUAUUGCCGUAGGAUGGGACUGCGGCCUAUCAGCUUGUUGGUGAGGUAAUGGCCCACCAAGGCUAUAACAGGUACGGGCUCUGAGAGGAGAAGCCCGGAGAUGGGUACUGAGACACGGACCCAGGCCCUAUGGGGCGCAGCAGGCGAGAAACCUUAGCAAUGUGCGAAAGCACGACUAGGUUAAUCCGAGUGAUUCCUGUUGAAGGAAUCUUUUGUCAGUCGUAAAACCACAGACGAAUAAGGGGUGGGCAAGUCUGGUGUCAGCCGCCGCGGUAAUACCAGCACCUCGAGUGGUCAGGAGGUUUAUUGGGCCUAAAGCAUCCGUAGCCGGCUUUGCAAGUCUCCGGUUAAAUCCAGCUGCUCAACAGAUGGGCUGCCGGAGAUACUACACAGCUAGGGAGCGGGAGAGGCAGACGGUAUUCUGUGGGUAGGGGUAAAAUCCAUUGAUCCAUAGAGGACCACCAGUGGCGAAAGCGGUCUGCCAGAACGCGUUCGACGGUGAGGGAUGAAAGCUGGGGGAGCAAACCGGAUUAGAUACCCGGGUAGUCCCAGCUGUAAACGAUGCAAACUCGGUGAUGCAUUGGCUUAUGGCCAAUGCAGUGCCGCAGGAAGCCGUUAAGUUUGCCGCCUGGGA